GCUAGUUGUACGAGUUGAGACUCGUAGCAGAUAGCUCAGUAACACGUGGCCAAACUACCCUAUGGAUCCAGACAACCUCGGGAAACUGAGGCUAAUCUGGAAUAGGGCUCUCAUCCUGGAGUGGAGAGAGCCUGAAAUGCUCCGGCGCCAUAGGAUGUGGCUGCGGCCGAUUAGGUAGACGGUGGGGUAACGGCCCACCGUGCCAGUAAUCGGUACGGGUUGUGAGAGCAAGAGCCCGGAGACGGUAUCUGAGACAAGAUACCGGGCCCUACGGGGCGCAGCAGGCGCGAAACCUUUACACUGCACGCCAGUGCGAUAAGGGGACUCCAAGUGCGAGGGCAUAUAGUCCUCGCUUUUUGCGACCGUAAGGUGGUCGCGGAAUAAGUGCUGGGCAAGACCGGUGCCAGCCGCCGCGGUAAUACCGGCAGCACGAGUGAUGACCGCUGUUAUUGGGCCUAAAGCGUCCGUAGCUGGCCGCGCAAGUCUAUCGGGAAAUCUCUCCGCUUAACGGAGAGGCGUCCGGUGGAAACUGUGUGGCUUGGGACCGGAAGACCAGAGGGGUACGUCUGGGGUAGGAGUGAAAUCCCGUA
This 590-nucleotide ribosomal RNA is filed under the name Natrialba hulunbeirensis. Its description in RNAcentral is "bacterial SSU rRNA". It matches the Rfam family "Archaeal small subunit ribosomal RNA", at positions 53 to 644 of the family's 1478-position model. Lineage: Archaea; Methanobacteriati; Methanobacteriota; Halobacteria; Halobacteriales; Natrialbaceae. The record is from RNAcentral.